This 406-nucleotide ribosomal RNA is filed under the name uncultured bacterium. RNAcentral's name for it is "partial 16S ribosomal RNA". It matches the Rfam family "Bacterial small subunit ribosomal RNA", at positions 28 to 526 of the family's 1533-position model. The record is from RNAcentral.
GAUGAACGCUAGCGGCAGGCUUAAUACAUGCAAGUCGAGGGACCGGCAAACGGGUGCGGAACACGUACGCAACCUACCCAAAACUGGGGAAUAGCCCGGGGAAACCCGGAUUAAUACCUCGUAGUUUUGGAUGGGCGUGCGCCUGAUUAGGUAGUUGGCGGGUAACGCCCCACCAAGCCUGCGAUCAGUAACUGGGGUGAUGGCACGACCAGUCACACGGGAACUGAGACACGGGCCCGACUGCUACGGGAGACUGCAGUAAGGAAUAUUGGUCAAGGGACGCAAGUCUGAACAAGCCAUGUCGCGUGAAGGAGGAAGGUCUCGUGAUGGUAAGCUUCUUGUAUAUGGGAAGCGGUACCAUAGGAAUAAGCACCGGCUAACUCCGUGCCAGCAGCCGCGGUAAUAC